CUUCAUCUACAAACUGAAAGUGAAGAAUACCAGACUGAAAGUGAAGAUUACCAAUGUGAUCGUGUCUGUGGCAUUGUCUUUCAACUGUGCUGACUUCAAAAAACAUACAAUGACACAUUCACAUGAUGGUAUUUCACAAUCCUCUAUUUUGAAAGUGAUGAAUGAGACACAUAAAGAAGAUAAACUGAUAUUUUGAAUAGAAUCGACUUUUAAAGAUCAUACAUCCAGAUUUUCAAUUUUGGUGAAUUCAUAAAAGAAUAUUUAUUUAUUGUUAGAAUCUAAUUUUUUUUUAAUAAAUAUCUUUACAUACUA
Molecule: long non-coding RNA, 312 nt
Organism: Bombina bombina (fire-bellied toad)
Lineage: Eukaryota; Metazoa; Chordata; Amphibia; Anura; Bombinatoridae
Exons: 3
Source: RefSeq, a predicted model, not a curated record